AGGGGAAGUGACUGACAUGUGCAGGGUUUCUCCUGCUCGGACUGCAACAAGUUUCCCAGGAAGCUCCCCAAGGCGUGGACGUUUGGGUCUGAAGCCCCCCGGGCCGAGAGCAGGCGCUGCCAGGGAGCUAGAGCCCGCGGCAGGCUGGCCGUCACUCAGCAGGCAGGUGAACCUGCUUCCCCGCGCCCCACUCCAUCCACCUCCACCAGCUCUUACUUCCAGCCUGCUCCCCCCGCCCCGUACCCCCAUCCUUUCUCCCCGUGCGGCAGCUGCAGCAGGCGCACACCAGCCUCCCGAGCCCCCGGCUGACGUGGGGCACUGGCACGCUCAGCCGGCAGCGCUGGCCCCGCUGCAGGAGGGCUAGUCCGCAGGCUGCAGAGGAGUCACUCACUGACCCAGGGAAGGGAAAGCCCAUUUAUUUAGGCUGUUUGAAUUUGGCACGCACAGAACAUAUCCCAGUAACGCACGGGAGGCUAAGGGGUUUGUUUUGUUUUUUUCUUUCUUCUUCUUCUCUACAGACAUACAGGAAAACUCUAUGCAACUCCCAUGUACACACUGCACAAAGGAAACAGCUUUAAGCAACCACCGGUGAAACGUGGAAGCCUUUUAAGAUCCCUGGAGCUGGCACAGGAAUGCUCUCUACCCCCCAUACAAAAGGCAUUUCAAUUUCAGGUCAGACUGUCUAGGUGAUAUUUCCAUGCAUUUCUACAGAAUUAAAGAAGCUAACAGACAAAAAGCCCAGAUCAAGCCAUAUUAGUGAGGCUGAUUGGUUCUACCUAGUUAGAUCAAUAGUGAUUAUGAACAAAUGGACCAAGUGACCAAAGACUGGGGCUGAGAAUACCACUUUUUGAGAUGUGGUUUCUUUUCACUGUACUGCCCAUAGAACUGGAGCACUCUGAUAGAAGUAUCGGCAUUUGUAGAAGCCUCAGAAGCAUCUGACCCGCUAGUAAGUGUGUAUUAGUGAAACGAAGGUAGUUCUAAAUUAAACUAUGUCAACAGAAAAGUAGUUGAUAGAAUCCCUCAGGCUGAAGGAGAUCUCAAGGCACUUCAUAACAAGAACAUUGAACCUCUAGAACAAGUGAACCUUUAAAUAUUAUUACUGCACUGUGAGUUUACAAGAGUGGAUUAGGACUUUUUCUCCAGAAAAAUUUGUCCAUUUUAUGUCUGUUUCACUUCAGGAUUAGCCUUUAUUAGUACUGCUCUACAACUGCUAGCACUAAGAAUUUAACCCAGUUUUUGUGCCAACAGGUUGUUUUAGCCUAACUUUCACUACAGGUUUUCAGUUCUGUAUAAAGUGGUUACAGGGGAAACUGUUUCUGAGUUUGGCCAUUUGACCAGCAGCCUCAAAAAGACUGACUGAAUUUUGCUUUUUACAACUCAGAAAAUUAAGAACAGGAACCAGUUUGUUCUCACACCCCCACCCCACCCCCACCCCCCCUUUCAUCCCAUGAUACAUUGACACUUUGCAGCGUUGGACCAACAUUUUUGGAGACCUUUAGCAUUAAUCCAUUGGGGACAGUAUUGGGCUGCUGGACAACCAAUGCAAAUAUUAAUAAACCAAGAGAAAUCCUUAGAUUUGAUUUGUUGAGGGUCAUUUGUACAUACGAGCUACAUCUCCAAAAUGUGCUUUAUCCUACCAGACAGCUUCCCUGCAGUUAGUGAAACCCUUGCCUAGAAUGGUUGCUUUACAUAACUGAUCUAUUAAAACAUGGAAUGCCUGUAGAGUUGUGGCACUGCAUGACAUCUACACGGGACUUGCUUCAAAAGCUACGACCAGGGAGCCUCCUGGCUUCUCAGCAGUGCAAGCUCGGGCAGGUCCUCUGGCCCAUUUGCUUGGCAUUCAUGCUUUAUGCCUAAAAAAAGAGGCAAAACACUCAAUGUGGUAUUCCAGCAUGCUAGUAAUCAAUCAAAUGUACUUGGUAGUAACAUUAGAAGAGGCAAUCGGGUCACCAAGCAGGUAAGCCCUGCCUUAGCUUAGGUAUUUGGAUGGUUUUCUCUGACGUGUGUCAGAGCAGACAUCUGGCUACACGCCAAAUAGCAAUGUAGAAAUACCGGGGAGAACGUUUUCACUACAUCCGUGCUCAGACUGUUCCCCUUUUCACUGCAGGCUCUCUCAGGAGCGCAUCUCUCCUUUCUAGGGCUACCCUGGGUAUGGCAGGUGAGGAAGCUACACGCAGGCAGGCUCCAAUGGCUGACCUAGCUCCCGCUGGCUCUGGAGAGGCACAGAAGAAUAAGGCAGGAUGGAUGUCUAUGACCCUCAGAUGCUGAAUGUUGUGCUCUUUGGAGGUUUGAUGGUGGUAUCAGCCAUUGGGAUCUUCCUGGUGUUCACCUUCAUGGAGAAGGUCCUCCGUCCUUCUGAGGAAGCCUUGGCCAAGCAAGGCAAAGGGCUUAAGAAGACUCAGCAGAAGGAAAAACAGAAAAAGAAGAAAGAGGAAGCUGUUGAGAAAAAAGGAAAAGGAAAGAAAAAUCAAGAGAAACCUAAUGGACAGGUCCCAGAGGCACACCAAAGUGCUCCAGUGGUCAGCUCUGUCACCAUAAAGAAAAGCAAUGUUCUUCCAGCCCAUGAGGAGCAGAAGCAUAAUGGACCUGUCAAGAAGGUGUCUGCAUCCAAGAAGAAGAGCGAGCCAGCACCUGCGGACUCGGAUGGGCCCCUCCACCUGCCCUACAAGACGCUCGUGUCCACGGUCAGCAGCACGGUGUUCGGCGAGGGGGAGGCCCAGCGGCUCAUCGAGAUCCUGACGGAGAAAGCGGGCGUCGUCCAGGACACCUGGCACACGGCCAAGCAGAAGGGUGACCCUGUCACUGUCCUGAAACGUCAGCUGGAGGAGAAGGAGAAGCAGAUCGCCACUAAGCAGGAGGCUGCAGCCGCUGCCAGAAACAAGGUGGAGGAGCUGAGUCAGGAGCUGGCAGCCGAGCGGGCCAAGGCGACAACCCUGGAGGGCAAGCUGAAGGAGCAGCUGCUGGCCCGCGAGCAGGAGAUGGCAGCGGUGCAGGCACGCAUGCAGGCCAGCUACCAGGACCAUGUCAGCGAAACGCAGCAGCUGCAGGGCAAGAUCCGCACCCUGCAGGAGCAGCUGGAGAAUGGCCCCGACACGCAGCUGGCUCGCCUGCAGCAGGAGAACUCCAUCCUGAGCGAUGCCUUCUGCCAGAUCAGAAGUCAGAUGGAGAGCAAGCAAAACGCUGAGGUGGCCAGGUUACAGGAGUGGUGCGGCAAGCUGAUGAACGAGCUCUCUGAGAAGUCAGAGGUGCUGCAGCAAGAGGAGCAUCUGAGGAAGAGCUGGAAGAUGAAAGUGGCAGCCUUGGAGAAGCAGAUGGAGCAGCUGCAGGAAAAACUAGGAAAAAAAAAAAAGAAAGAACCAGGGCCAGGCAGCAAGCGAACUACAGGAGCGACUGAAGGUUACCCAGGACCAACUGGCCAAAGGGAGAAUGAAGAAGUGUAAAGAACAGCUUCAGGAAAUGGGGGAAGAGGACAGUUUGAAGGAAGGGACUUCAGUUUGAUGAGUCUGUGACCUAGACCUUACCGUCACCUUACCAAAAUGCCUUACACAUUCCUAAAAUGAAAACUAAAAAUAUAUGCCUGAUUUACUGUAGAAAAAAGUUGCAAGCCAUUCGUGACCUAAAACCUAGUUUUGAAACUUAAAAAAAACCCCAAACACAAAAACCCAACCAGUAAACACUGCAGGCAUAUGUUUGUAAGAAAAUCUUCAUACUGUUUUGUACAACUACCGUUUGUUCCCAAGGGCACCGCACCGACCACAUCGGGGCAGGCAGAACCCACAAAUCUGUGAAAAGGGAAGACUCUGUUUGUACAUCAACUGGUGAAAUUAUUUUUUUUCUUUCUUUUUUACUUUUUUUGGUUUGUUUUGGGUUUUUUUGUUUGUUGGAGUGCAAGAAGUGUGAAAGUGAGACCCAGCAUGGAAGGAAGCCUCUCUUUGAUGGGUGGCUUUUGGCGCGUAUCCUUUUGUGUAUUUCUGGGUGUCGAUGCAUUUACAAUGAUGUAGUGAAAAGAGCUUAUCCUUGCUUCAUUUUCCCGGUUAUUAUUUACUAAAUUUUUAUUAAGUUUGCAAGCCAGCCAGGUGUUUGGGGUCACUGAAGAAGGACCCUGCUGUGGCCGGGAGCAGAUCCUUUACUCCCCGCCUUGCUUGCUGUGCUGCAGACAGCCAUCCCCUCUGUUUUUUCUCCAAGAUACGCAAAGGAGAGAAGCCUUCCCUUCCAGCCACGAGUGUUCUCACACUGGCGGUGCACCCCGAAGUCCCCUGCCACGGGGUCAGGCUAAGCAUGGGGACAGGGCAGAGCAGCGUGAGCGUGGGGACAGGGCGCAGCAGCACAGCCUCGCCAGCCCAGCGCAGGCUGCUCCUGCUCUCUUAAGCCUCAGCGCACCCCUGAAAUUCUGUCCCUGCGGGUGCUGCGUGGUGGUGGUCCUUGGGCACUGCCAGGCUCUUCAGCCUUCUCUCUCCCCUUCUUGUGGCUUUCCUGUUGAAACUCCACACAAACCCACCCUUUUUCCCCCGGGUUUUCUUCUUUUUAAAUAACUUUUUUUUUUUAAUUAUUUCAAGUUGGUUUAUUGGGAAAUGGCAGAGACCACGUCACAGCUUGGUGCCUGCCUUCUCACAAUAAAGCUGCUGAGCCCGGCGCUGACAUCAGCGGGAUUUGAGGAGCUGGUGGGGGGAAAAGGCCCCCAGAGUGCUUGGUACCUCUGGGGUGUGUGAAGAACCAAGGCCAGGAAGGGGGAUGAAGGCCAGGCCCGUCUCCAUUUUGUUCCCAGAGAAGUCUGCGUGUGCUCAGCCUCUAUAUUAGACACACCAGAGAUUCCACACAGGCAGGACUGGGUAGACACGUGUCCUGUCCCCCCAGCACUGCAGCUUUGGGGGUCAUGAUGGAGAAGGGAUGUGCAAAUCACACUUGGGCUGUGGGGUAUGUGCAUGACCUGUCUCUGAUCAGGCAAGAAAAAGGGGUCCUGCUGAAUUCUGGCUGAGGGAAUGGUAAGCUGAGAGCCCACCACCCACCCCCACCCCCACUGCCUGGUGAUUAACAGUGGUCAGUUAAUUACAGAGCAGACUCCAACUGCUUAGAGUGCUUUCUCCUGUGUCUGGGAACACAGAUCCUUGCGUCUUCUAUUUCAUGAGAAAGGAAUGUCUCCUGUGACGGAAACGGAGCUUUUGAAAUUGAUGUGUCAGCUCCUUCCACCCCAUCCCUGAAGGACCAGGCAUGUCCGAGAAACAGGCCAACACAACCGUUGAGAUGUUUCAAGCCCUGUUAUCAGGCCCACCAGGAGGAUGUGUUCCCCCUGGGUAACGCCAGGGAUGCUUGACUGGCCUGUGGGCUGGAAUAACGCUGCUUCUGUUGGUGCAGGCAAAACGCUGAGGUGGCCAGGUUACAGGAGUGGUGCGGCAAGCUGAUGAAUGAGCUCUCUGAGAAGUCAGAGGUGCUGCAGCAAGAGAAGCAUCUGAGGAAGAGCUGGAAGAUGAAAGUGGCAGCCUUGGAGAAGCAGAUGGAGCAGCUGCAGGCACUCCAGAAGCAGCCAUGGCCCUCACGGAGCCUCCUGGCCAAAAGACUUCAGUCUUGAGGGCAAAGGCUGAAGAGUGCAUGAAAGUGAGAGAGACACAGGGGCAAGCACUUGUCCCACCUUGUAAUAUCACUUGUCGGCAUCUUCUCAUCUGAUCCCAGGCUGCAAAGGGUUGCAGCUCCGCUUGUAAAUUACUGGGUACCAUUACAGCGGUAUUAUCAAGCAAGGAACAACGUUAGAGUAGCAAAAAGACACGGCUUUGCCCUCGGCUGGGGAGGCACACUGGGACAGCCUCCAGCGCCAGACCAUUUUUAGCAAAACAAUCACAAAUACAAUGAACUUCUUAGCUGACUUGUCUACAAAGAGGGAAAGGCUCCAUACGAUAAGCAGCACUCACUAUUACUCUGCUGCAGAAUUUAGUUCUUCCAGAGGUAAUACACUCUGUUUUGCCAGCAUCUAACAGCAAACCAUGUAACACGAAGAUGCAGAGUUAAGGUACCUGUAAAUGCACUGGUUUUGUUUCCUGGCUUUUGUGCUUCCCAGGGCUGUCCUUUGUUGUGCAGCUCUGAUAUUUUCCAUUUUUUUUAUAUUUGGAUAUAGCAAUUGCUAACACAGAGUCUAAGGCUAGCAAUCAUAACAUCUAUUUACAACAUGCACACUGGCUGUGUGCACCUGUUCCACCAGCCUCCCAUUUGCUUCAAACAUGGCAGUCUCCCUGAGGACACGUUCAAUGAGAAACCACCCCCCUACCCUGCAAAGCCCUGCUUUACUUGCUGCCAAGCCUCCUGCAUCCCCCUGGGCAGAUUAUUUUUGGAAGGCUGGCCAGGGAAUAUUUACCAGCUAUUGAAUCAACAGAGUUCAGCCACAUGCCAACAUUUCAUGCUGUUACCUAAACGGUGUCAGAACUCUCAGAACUCCAUCAAAACAGAAGUGGUUUGCACUUUGGUAUUAAAAGUUAUGUCCAGGCCUGAACACCUCGUUGGGAGCUGGGCCACACAGCAGGCUCCUCUGGGCAAAGAUUUCUUUUCUAAGCAGCCGUUAUGCAAGUACCAAUCUGUGAAAAAAUUUUGAAACUCAAAGAGAGAGAACCUUGAUUUGACAUAGUGCUCUUGCUGCACGUUCCGUAGAAGGAAAGUCACCCACAUCUCUAGAUCUAAUGGAAAGUAGGAAAGAAGCACCAAGUGCAAGGUUCUGCAUGUGGGCUGGGGCAAUACCAAGCACAGGCACAGGCUGGGCAGAGAAUGGAUGGAGAGCAGCCCUGAGGAGAAGGACUGUGGGGUGUUGGUGGAUGAGGAGCUCAACUUGGCCCAGCAAAGUGUGCUUGCAGCACAGAAAGCCAACCAUGCCGUGGGCUACAUCCCCAGCAGGGCGAGGGAGGGGAUUCUCCCCCUCUGCUCUGCUCUGCUCUGCUCUCGUGAGACCCCCCCUGUGCAGUGCUGUGUCUUCUCUGAGGCCCUCAACAUAAGAAAGACAUGAAGCUGUUGGAGCAAGUCUAGAGGAGACCGUGGAGAUGCUCAGAGGGCUGGAGCCCCUCUGCUGUGCAGACAGGCUGAGGGAGUUGGGGUUGUUCAGCCUGGAGAAGAAAUGGCUCCAGGGAGACCUUAGAGCAGCUCCCAGUACCUGAAGGGACUGACAGGAAAGCUGGAGGGGUGCAGAGGGAUUUUUAAAGGACCGAGGACAUAUGUUACCGUUGUCCAGGUUGGACAACCAAGGCCUGUUAGUUGAAGCUGCAGAGCAACUUUAAAUUGCCCUGGGAACAAGCAGUGUGAGAAAUAAAACAAGCUAUGCACGAACAAGAAGCCAGGUGCAGAGCAAGUCCUGGGAACCGCAGAAUCGACACACUCAUUGGCACACUCUGAUCAGGUGCCUGCAGCAUGUGACACGGAUGCCCGCAUGGCCAGAGUCUUUUAUCCAAUCACCUGUGUGUAAAGUCGGGUGGGCGGUCGGUUUAAGUUAGAAAUAUGACCUGUUUGUUUAAUAAAGUGAGCACGGCA
This is an RNA transcript of Falco peregrinus (peregrine falcon), 7500 nucleotides long. It is a transcript of the gene named ribosome-binding protein 1-like, with no coding region annotated. The transcript has 10 exons. NCBI's taxonomy places the organism in Eukaryota, Metazoa, Chordata, Aves, Falconiformes, Falconidae. The record is from RefSeq and is a predicted model, not a curated record.